This 269-nucleotide unclassified non-coding RNA is filed under the name Chaetothyriales sp. RNAcentral describes it as "partial contains 5.8S ribosomal RNA, internal transcribed spacer 2, and large subunit ribosomal RNA". Lineage: Eukaryota; Fungi; Ascomycota; Eurotiomycetes; Chaetothyriales. The record is from RNAcentral.
CGCACAUUGCGCCCUUUGGCAUUCCGAAGGGCAUGCCUGUUCGAGCGUCAUUAUCCUCCCUCAAACCAUCUUCUUGGUUUGGUGUUGGACCGCGUUGGACCGUCCUCGGCCAACUGGUCUCAAAGACAAUGACGGCGUCCGUGGGACCCUCUUCGCACUGAGCUUUCCGGAGCACGCGUUGAGUUGCAAGGUCCCGGGGACCCGGCCUCCUUCAAAAUUAUUUUUUCUAGGUUGACCUCGGAUCAGGUAGGAAUACCCGCUGAACUUAA